GAGUUUGAUCAUGGCUCAGGAUGAACGCUAGCGGCAGGCUUAAUACAUGCAAGUCGAGGGGCAGCAGCUUUAUAGCAAUAUAGAGGCUGGCGACCGGCAAACGGGUGCGGAACACGUACACAACCUUCCUUGAAUAGGGGGAUAGCCCAUAGAAAUGUGGAUUAAUACCCCGUAAUAUAGCGGUGUGGCAUCACACUGUUAUUAUAGUUUCGGCGAUUCGAGAUGGGUGUGCGGCUGAUUAGGUAGUUGGCGGGGUAAAGGCCCACCAAGCCUUCGAUCAGUAGCUGACGUGAGAGCAUGAUCAGCCACACGGGCACUGAGACACGGGCCCGACUCCUACGGGAGGCAGCAGUAAGGAAUAUUGGUCAAUGGACGCAAGUYUGAACCAGCCAUGCCGCGUGAAGGAUGAAGGUCCUCUGGAUUGUAAACUUCUUUUAUAGGGGGCGAAAAAAGGUCUUUCUAGAUCACUUGACAGUACCCU
RNAcentral lists this ribosomal RNA (481 nucleotides) under uncultured Bacteroidota bacterium. RNAcentral describes it as "bacterial SSU rRNA". Lineage: Bacteria; Pseudomonadati; Bacteroidota. The record is from RNAcentral.